UUAUAAAUAAAGUUCAAGUACAAAGUUCUUGUAUGUAUUUUUUCUUAUCUACCACAUACACAAUAUUAUAUUUUUUUUUAAUAAAGUACCUAAAUUGGUUAGUUGUAUGUCAAUUGGAUACUUGAUGAGUAGGUACAUAUUAUUAUGUACAAUUUGUUGUUUAAUCAUUUAUACAUCUAAAAUAAAUUGUUGUUUAAAUGCUUAGCCUAUGGUGCACUGGUACCUGCUGGAUAAUAAAUGCCAAGCUAUACAAUCAAGUGGCAUAGCACUACAUAUAAAUAUUAGUAAAAACUUGGAUUUUUCUGUCAGUUAUUGAAGAGUUUUGUUUGUUUUGGUAUUUCUAUUUGGAAAAUAGAUAGUCCAAGAUUAUCUAUAUUUACAACAAACAUUCUUAGACAUAUAAUUUGAUCUCACUUUUUAAUUCA
Long non-coding RNA from Acyrthosiphon pisum (pea aphid), 425 nucleotides. RefSeq lists it as uncharacterized. NCBI's taxonomy places the organism in Eukaryota, Metazoa, Arthropoda, Insecta, Hemiptera, Aphididae. The record is from RefSeq and is a predicted model, not a curated record. The transcript has 2 exons.